This 1675-nucleotide unclassified non-coding RNA is filed under the name Hevea brasiliensis (rubber tree). Lineage: Eukaryota; Viridiplantae; Streptophyta; Magnoliopsida; Malpighiales; Euphorbiaceae. The record is from RNAcentral.
CUAGAGCAUUUACAAGAUGACAGUGCCAUCUUCCAUACCUAAAAACCUCACUAAACCCUGAGAAGACGAAGAGAGAGAGAUAUGUUUCAGAGCAAAGUGUUAUCCUCUAUUUUGAAGAGGAACAAGGGAGCUAUUAAUACUGUAAUAUCCAAUUUCAGAGGUAGAACGUCUCCGUUUAAGGAUUUGAUGGAACAGCCUUCAACAUCAUUCUUCAAUGUCUUUAGAUCCUCACCUGUGUGUCAUCACAUCCCAUCUAUGAGGAAUAUGUCCACUGCAGCAUCUAUUGGCAUGGAAGGUAAGGAAGGAUUAAAGCUUCUUGUAACGGGGGGACCCCGAGCUCAAAAAAUGGUUGGCAUAUGGCUUUUUGGUUCUGCUAUGUGGGUUUUUAGCAUGGUGGUCCUUGGUGGUGUCACACGGCUAACUCGAUCUGGUCUUUCAAUGACUGAUUGGAAAUUUACUGGUAGCCUCCCUCCUGUUUCAGAUGAGGAAUGGUUGAAUGAAUUUGAAAAAUAUAAGCAGUCACCUGAGUAUAAGCGUGUAAACAAAGGGAUGAGUGUUGAAGAUUUCAAAUUUAUAUAUUGGAUGGAAUAUGCACAUCGUAUGUGGGGAAGGGGACUGGGUAUCAUGUUCGCUCUGCCAUUUUCAUAUUUUCUGCGCAAGGGAUAUAUAACCUUGCGACUUGGACUAAGACUCUCUACUCUUUUUGCCCUUGGUGCUGGGCAGGGUCUAAUUGGCUGGUGGAUGGUUAAAAGUGGCCUAGAGGAGCCAGCAUCUGACUAUGCUCAGCCAAGAGUAAGCCCUUACCGUCUUGCAGCACAUCUUACUUCGGCAUUUGUUAUUUACAGUGGCCUGUUCUGGACUGCUCUUUCUGUUGUAAUGCCUGAACCACCUGCUGAAUCUUUAGCUUGGGUUCGUGGGGCAGCAAAAGUGAAGAGACUUGCUCUUCCUGCUAGCCUCAUUGUAGGCAUUACUGCUGUCUCAGGGGCCUUUGUUGCUGGAAAUGAUGCUGGGCAUGCAUAUAACACUUUCCCCAAGAUGGGUGAUACAUGGAUUCCUGAAGAUAUCUUUGAAAUGAAGCCACUAAUUCGAAACUUCUUUGAGAAUACAUCAACUGUGCAGCUUGACCACCGUAUCCUUGCAACUACUACCUUGAUUUCAAUUGGUGGAUUGUGGUGGUUCACGAGAAAGCUGGACAUACAUCCAGCAGUACGAUCUUUAAUUGGAAGCACACUUGGCAUGGCUGCUCUGCAGGUCACCUUAGGGAUAUCAACACUUCUAUCAUAUGUGCCUGUAUCACUUGGAACUGCACAUCAGGCUGGAGCCUUAACGCUUAUGACACUUAUGAUUCUGCUCAACCACACAGUGCGCAAGCCAUCUGUAUCUCUUCUAAAAUCACUUCCUCAAGUAGUGAAGACGGUCUGAUUAUCCAAGAAAUUUGCAAUAGAGUAUUCAGUUAGUUUUAUCAAAUGCAAAAAUGCAUUGGACUGUCAUUGUUGUUCUAAUUUAGUCAGUAAUGUUCAACUUCAGGUCCAUUAUUCCAAACAAAAGAGGGAGGAAUGAAUAUAUAUGAUCAUUUGUUGUGAUUAUGUGGCUAAUUGAUUUGCAUUUUCGAAAUUCAUUCACACUUAAUGUCCUUUCAAAACUUUUAUAUUCAAUUUGGAAACUUAAAUUCUAG